GGCCUGGUAGUUCAGUUGGUUAGAAUGCCAGCCUGUCACGCUGGAGGUCGAGGGUUCGANNCUGCCAAGGGCA
This 73-nucleotide transfer RNA is filed under the name Clostridioides difficile. Its description in RNAcentral is "tRNA-Asp(gtc)". It matches the Rfam family "tRNA". From Rfam's summary of the family: Transfer RNA (tRNA) molecules are approximately 80 nucleotides in length. The record is from RNAcentral. Lineage: Bacteria; Bacillati; Bacillota; Clostridia; Peptostreptococcales; Peptostreptococcaceae.